This 343-nucleotide long non-coding RNA is filed under the name Setaria viridis. RNAcentral describes it as "long non-coding RNA (SVIR_LNC010586)". Lineage: Eukaryota; Viridiplantae; Streptophyta; Magnoliopsida; Poales; Poaceae. The record is from RNAcentral.
AGGCAUGAUGGAGAUGCACAACUGCUUGGGCAAUUAUGCAAAGGUAUGUCUUUUUUUUUUGUCUUGAUUUGUUAUUGAAUAGCUUGUAGCUGGUGCCCAUGUAUUAACAUGAGUAGUAAUUUGUGCUACAUGAUCUUAUCAAGCGCACCCACCGCAAGUCCCAAAUGCUUGAAGGAUAUGGAGAGAUGGCUAAUGAUGAAGCAUGAUGGAUCACUAUUGAUCUUUGUAAUCAAAUGCAACAUCUCCGCCUCAUUGGUCGGAACAAGUCACUGAAUCAGCGGAUCCAAGGUAAUCUCUUAUUGAUGUUUGAGUAUUGAUUUUUCUUGUAUCACCGGCCCUCUUG